AUGCCCUUGGUGCAAAGGUAGCAUAGCGGUUUCCAAAUCCGUUGAUGUAGGUUCAAGACCUGCAGGACAUG
This 71-nucleotide transfer RNA is filed under the name Lactobacillus sp. wkB10. RNAcentral describes it as "tRNA-Trp". It matches the Rfam family "tRNA". From Rfam's summary of the family: Transfer RNA (tRNA) molecules are approximately 80 nucleotides in length. Lineage: Bacteria; Bacillati; Bacillota; Bacilli; Lactobacillales; Lactobacillaceae. The record is from RNAcentral.